Molecule: long non-coding RNA, 380 nt
Organism: Chiroxiphia lanceolata (lance-tailed manakin)
Lineage: Eukaryota; Metazoa; Chordata; Aves; Passeriformes; Pipridae
Exons: 4
Source: RefSeq, a predicted model, not a curated record
GCAAGAGCUGUGGAGAUGAGGUCCUUCUGGUGGGAGCAGGGUUGUGUGGAUCACUCUCAGUCCUUUCUCUGUUGUUUUUUCAUUCGCUUUGACCAGCCAUUGAGCACUGGUCAGGAGCCAUUAGCACCCAGACUGAACACAAUGUAAAUUACCUGCAUGUGAUGAGAGCACCCCUGCACGUAAGGCUUGGUGAACUGCAGACAGCGCCGUGUCCUUGGAGCACUUCACGGCAAAACAACAGAUGGAAGUGAUGGAUAAAUCCACAUCAGGCACUUUCCCUCCCCACUGGAUGAAGGUCUUUCCUGUCUCUGUGCAGUGUUCAGGACAAAAUGAAGCCCAAAUUUUUUUUCUGGUUCCAGAAGAACCCUGAUGUACACAAA